This 327-nucleotide ribosomal RNA is filed under the name Clostridioides difficile. RNAcentral describes it as "bacterial SSU rRNA". It matches the Rfam family "Bacterial small subunit ribosomal RNA", at positions 1 to 340 of the family's 1533-position model. Lineage: Bacteria; Bacillati; Bacillota; Clostridia; Peptostreptococcales; Peptostreptococcaceae. The record is from RNAcentral.
UUAUUUGAGAGUUUGAUCCUGGCUCAGGAUGAACGCUGGCGGCGUGCCUAACACAUGCAAGUUGAGCGAUUUACUGUAAAGAGCGGCGGACGGGUGAGUAACGCGUGGGUAACCUACCCUGUACACACGGAUAACAUACCGAAAGGUAUGCUAAUACGGGAUAAUAUAUUUGAGAGGCAUCUCUUGAAUAUCAAAGGUGGGCCAGUACAGGAUGGACCCGCGUCUGAUUAGCUAGUUGGUAAGGUAACGGCUUACCAAGGCGACGAUCAGUAGCCGACCUGAGAGGGUGAUCGGCCACAUUGGAACUGAGACACGGUCCAAACUCCU